CGAAAGCCUGACGGAGCAAGACCACGUGGGGGAGGAAGGUCUGUGGAUUGUAAACCCCUUUUCUCAGGGAAGAAGCUCUGACGGUACCUGAGGAAUCAGCCUCGGCUAACUCCGUGCCAGCAGCCGCGGUAAUACGGAGGAGGCAAGCGUUAUCCGGAAUUAUUGGGCGUAAAGCGUCCGCAGGUGGCGAUUCAAGUCUGCUGUCAAAGCACGGGGCUUAACUCCGUAAAGGCAGUGGAAACUGAAUAGCUAGAGUGCCGUAGGGGUAGAGGGAAUUCCCGGUGUAGCGGUGAAAUGCGUAGAUAUCGGGAAGAACACCAGUGGCGAAAGCGCUCUACUGGACCGCAACUGACACUGAGGGACGAAAGCUAGGGGAGCG
RNAcentral lists this ribosomal RNA (379 nucleotides) under uncultured cyanobacterium. RNAcentral's name for it is "bacterial SSU rRNA". It matches the Rfam family "Bacterial small subunit ribosomal RNA", at positions 376 to 770 of the family's 1533-position model. The record is from RNAcentral. Lineage: Bacteria; Bacillati; Cyanobacteriota.